GGGCCCGCACAAGCGGUGGAGCAUGUGGUUUAAUUCGAUGAUACGCGAGGAACCUUACCAGGGCUUAAAUGGGAAAUGACAGGGGCAGAGACGCCCCCUUCUUCGGACAUUUUUCAAGGUGCUGCAUGGUUGUCGUCAGCUCGUGCCGUGAGGUGUCAGGUUAAGUCCUAUAACGAGCGCAACCCCUACCGUUAGUUGCCAGCGUGUAAUGACGGGGACUCUAACGGAACUGCCGGUGCAAACCGUGAGGAAGGUGGGGACGACGUCAAAUCAUCACGGCCCUUACGUCCUGGCCACACACGUGCUACAAUGGUAGGUACAGAGAGCAGCUACCGGGUGACCGGAUGCGAA
RNAcentral lists this ribosomal RNA (351 nucleotides) under uncultured bacterium. RNAcentral's name for it is "bacterial SSU rRNA". It matches the Rfam family "Bacterial small subunit ribosomal RNA", at positions 917 to 1271 of the family's 1533-position model. The record is from RNAcentral.